GUAGGGUCCAAGCGUUAAUCGGAAUUACUGGGCGUAAAGCGUGCGCAGGCGGUUGCAAGACCGAUGUGAAAUCCCCGGGCUUAACCUGGGAAUUGCAUUGGUGACUGCACGGCUAGAGUGUGUCAGAGGGGGGUAGAAUUCCACGUGUAGCAGUGAAAUGCGUAGAGAUGUGGAGGAAUACCGAUGGCGAAGGCAGCCCCCUGGGAUAACACUGACGCUCAUGCACGAAAGCGUGGGGGGAGCAAACAGGAUUAGAUACCCUGGUAGUCCACGCCCUAAACGAUGUCAACUAGUUGUUGGGGAUUCAUUUCCUUAGUAACGUAGCUAACGCGUGAAGUUGACCGCCUGGGGAGUACGGUCGCAAGAUUA
RNAcentral lists this ribosomal RNA (369 nucleotides) under uncultured organism. RNAcentral describes it as "partial 16S ribosomal RNA". It matches the Rfam family "Bacterial small subunit ribosomal RNA", at positions 527 to 896 of the family's 1533-position model. The record is from RNAcentral.